RNAcentral lists this long non-coding RNA (1123 nucleotides) under Sus scrofa (pig). RNAcentral describes it as "lncRNA (ENSSSCG00055010678.1)". Lineage: Eukaryota; Metazoa; Chordata; Mammalia; Artiodactyla; Suidae. The record is from RNAcentral.
CAUCUAAAUGUGAAUGGAAGGAUAGCAUUUCCAACUUGAAGUUUUCUGUUUGUGACGUACCAGUGUCCAAGUGAAAUUACCCUUCUCUACUAAUGCAAAGAUGACAGCUCAGCAUGUACACACAGCAUAAUGUUACAGGUGCAGUCAGAAGCUCUCUUUUCUUUUUUCUUUUCUUUUCUUUUUGCUUUGUAGGGCCACACCUGAGGCAUAUGGAGGUUUCCAGGCUAGGGGUCUAAUUGGAGCUACUACAGCUGCCAGCCUACACCACAGCUCAGAGCAACAAAGGAUCCAAGCUGCGUCUUCGACCCACACCAUAGCUCACAGCAAUGCUGGAUCCUUAACCCACUGAGCAGAGCCAGGGAUCGAACCUGCAACCUCAUGGUUCCUAGUCGGAUUCGUUUCUACUGAGCCACGACGGGAACUCCAUUACGCAGUUUUCUUAAUUCACAUGCCUUUCUUAAUGUACUUCUUAGUUCCCAUUUCUUUUUGAAAAAUCUUUAUUACAGCCUGCUUUGAUAAAAUAUUUUGAAAUAGUGAGUAAAAAUAGAUGAGUGCUAUUAUAAGUUAUGAUUCUUUUAAAAUGGCUCCCAGCUCUUGUAGUAAAUUCAAAAGUAAAGGAUUUAUCUGAAGUAAAACUGGAUGUUUUCCUGAUUUUUAAAGUUUGGAAGAAAUUCUUCUGUUUGUAACCAUCUUAUAUUUCUAAAAUGUUCAAAUGAUUGCCUCGGAGUUUGGAGACAAAAUAUUCUUUUUUUUUUUCCCCCUUGAACUUGAAUGCUGAGAACUUGGAUGUUUUAAAUGAGCAAUUUGCCAGCAGAUGACGAUUCAUUCCAGAUAAAAGAGAUACCAAGUACAGUAAAAUCUGUGUUUGCUAACCAGCAAAAUCUGGAAAAUCGCAUUUUUGAGAUUCCCCAGACAAAAUUUCAAUCUAAUAAAUGCCAGUAGGACUAACUGAAAUAGGGUAGGGCGAAUAUGGUAAAAUUAGAUUAAGGUUGCUAGAUAUUUAGUACGUAUUCUUCUGCUAAUUUUAAGAAUCCCAUAGAGUUUUUGCAGACAAAAAUUAUAUACCUGUAUAAAUCAUGGCAUUUUCCUUCCUUUACCAGACUGUGAAGGGAAAGUGGGAGAU